This 630-nucleotide ribosomal RNA is filed under the name uncultured rumen bacterium. RNAcentral describes it as "bacterial SSU rRNA". It matches the Rfam family "Bacterial small subunit ribosomal RNA", at positions 835 to 1482 of the family's 1533-position model. The record is from RNAcentral.
UCGCCGCGGUACCGAAGCCACGCGUUAAGUAUGCCGCUGGGAGUACGUACGCAAGUAUGAACUUAAGGAAUGACGGGACCCGCACAAGCAGUGGAGCAUGUGUUUAUUCGACGCACGCGAAGAACCUUACCAGGGCUUGACAUAUUGAUUACUACCCUCUAAGAGAUUAGAGGAGACUAUAAUACAGGUGGUGCAUGGUUGUCGUCAGCUCGUGUCGUGAGAUGUUGGGUUAAGUCCCGCAACGAGCGCAACCCCUUUCCUUAGUUGCCAUCAUUCAGUUGGGAACUCUAAGGAUACUGCCGAUGUAAGUCGGAGGAAGGUGGGGAUGACGUCAAAUCAUCAUGCCCUUUAUGUCCUGGGCGACACACGUGCUACAAUGGCCGGUACAAAGAGACGCGAAUCCGCGAGGAGGAGCAAAUCCCAUAAAGCCGGUCUCAGUUCGGAUUGGAGUCUGCAACUCGACUCCAUGAAGCUGGAAUUGCUAGUAAUCGCGAAUCAGCCAUGUCGCGGUGAAUACGUUCCCGGGUCUUGUACACACCGCCCGUCAAACCAUGAGAGCUGGUAAUACUCGAAGUCGUUAUCCUAACCGCAAGGAGGGAGACGCCUAAGGUAGGACUGGUGAUUGGGGUU